RNAcentral lists this unclassified non-coding RNA (327 nucleotides) under Hevea brasiliensis (rubber tree). The record is from RNAcentral. Lineage: Eukaryota; Viridiplantae; Streptophyta; Magnoliopsida; Malpighiales; Euphorbiaceae.
CUUUCUUGCAAUUUCUCUUUGUCAUAGUCUGAAGUGCUUAACUCAAUUGCAGACCUUAUCUGCUCACAUCUUUCCUCAAUGGCUUUCUUGUCACCAGCACCAUCAAGAAUAACAGUAUCAUCCUUGGACACCGUAAUCUUUUUGCAACUGCCAAGCAUAUCUAUAUCCACCUUUUCNNNNNNNNNNNNCAGUUAUCACCUCACCCCCUGUGAGAACAGCAAGAUCCUGCAGCCCAGCCUUUCUAUUCUCUCCAAAACCAGGAGCUUUAAUGGCACACACCUUAAUUCCAGCACGAAGCUUGUUUAGAAUAAGGGUUGCUAAUGCUUC